Molecule: ribosomal RNA, 386 nt
Filed under: uncultured Pseudomonas sp.
Lineage: Bacteria; Pseudomonadati; Pseudomonadota; Gammaproteobacteria; Pseudomonadales; Pseudomonadaceae
Description: bacterial SSU rRNA
Rfam family: Bacterial small subunit ribosomal RNA
Source: RNAcentral
AUCCUACGGGAGGCAGCAGUGGGGAAUAUUGGACAAUGGGCGAAAGCCUGAUCCAGCCAUGCCGCGUGUGUGAAGAAGGUCUUCGGAUUGUAAGGCACUUUAAGUUGGGAGGAAGGGCAGUAAGUUAAUACCUUGCUGUUUUGACGUUACCGACAGAAUAAGCACCGGCUAACUCUGUGCCAGCAGCCGCGGUAAUACAGAGGGUGCAAGCGUUAAUCGGAAUUACUGGGCGUAAAGCGCGCGUAGGUGGUUUGUUAAGUUGGAUGUGAAAGCCCCGGGCUCAACCUGGGAACUGCAUCCAAAACUGGCAAGCUAGAGUACGGUAGAGGGUGGUGGAAUUUCCUGUGUAGCGGUGAAAUGCGUAGAUAUAGGAAGGAACACCAGUG